GACGAACCGUGCGAACGUUAUUCGGAAUCACUGGGCUUAAAGCGCGUGUAGGCGGAUGGGAACGUCGGCUUCUGAAAGCCCCCGGCUCAACCGGGGAAGUGGGGCCGAAACGACCCGUCUCGAGGGACGUAGGGGGAUCUGGAACUUCCGGUGGAGCGGUGAAAUGCGUUGAGAUCGGAAGGAACGCCCGUGGCGAAAGCGAGAUCCUGGACGUUUUCUGACGCUGAGACGCGAAAGCUAGGGGAGCAAACGGG
RNAcentral lists this ribosomal RNA (254 nucleotides) under uncultured bacterium. RNAcentral describes it as "partial 16S ribosomal RNA". It matches the Rfam family "Bacterial small subunit ribosomal RNA", at positions 524 to 776 of the family's 1533-position model. The record is from RNAcentral.